Molecule: ribosomal RNA, 492 nt
Filed under: uncultured bacterium
Lineage: Bacteria
Description: partial 16S ribosomal RNA
Rfam family: Bacterial small subunit ribosomal RNA
Source: RNAcentral
AUUGAACGCUGGCGGCAUGCUUUACACAUGCAAGUCGAACGGUAACAGGCCUUCGGGUGCUGACGAGUGGCGAACGGGUGCGUAAUGCAUCGGAACGUACCCAGAGGUGGGGGAUAACGCAGCGAAAGCUGUGCUAAUACUGCAUGUGAUCUGAGGAUGAAAGCGGGGGACCGAGCAGCAAUGUUUGGCCUCGCGCCUUUGGAGCGGCCGAUGUCGGAUUAGCUAGUUGGUUGGGUAAAGGCCUACCAAGGCGACGAUCCGUAGCUGGUCUGAGAGGACGACCAGCCACACUGGGACUGAGACACGGCCCAGACUCCUACGGGAGGCAGCAGUGGGGAAUUUUGGACAAUGGGCGCAAGCCUGAUCCAGCAAUGCCGCGUGAGGGAAGAAGGCCUUCGGGUUGUAAACCGCUUUUGGCAGGAACGAAACGGUGUCCGCUAAUACCGGGCGCUAAUGACGGUACCUGCAGAAUAAGCACCGGCUAACUACGUG